Long non-coding RNA from Gadus macrocephalus (Pacific cod), 1322 nucleotides. RefSeq lists it as uncharacterized. The record is from RefSeq and is a predicted model, not a curated record. Lineage: Eukaryota; Metazoa; Chordata; Actinopteri; Gadiformes; Gadidae. The transcript has 8 exons.
GAUUAUAUCCAAUGCCAAUUACAUGGGCACGCCUUCUGCUACAUUCUAUAAAUCUGAGAAAACAAACACAUUAUGGCCAUGGUCAACGUGGACAGCCCUAGACACUACAGAGCUAUCUAAUAAGGGAACUUGUCUGUGUCGUUUUCGAUUGUGUGACUUAACUUCACAAUAUCUCAAACAUGAUGAAUCCCGCUGCCGGUUAUCCUUAUCCUCCUGGCAAUCCAAUAGGUUUCACUGGUAUGCCGGCUAACCCACAAGGCGUUCCCCAACCUCAGUUCGCAAUGCCUGUUCAGCAGCAGCAGCAGCAGCCGGUUGCUCAAAAUACAACAGUACAGGUCAAUGCCGCCCCUGUUCAGCAGCAGCCUGUUGUCCAGCAUACAAACAUCUGCAUCGAUUCAGGGAACCUUCAAGGUCAACCAAGGGGCCCUGAAUUAAAAAAUGUCGUGGUGGUGGGGCCGGCGGCAAGGAGAGACCAGUAACGGACAAAAUGUGCCCUUUGCGAGGCCACCUGUGUCACUAGUGUCACCUACAAGAAUGGUGCACUUACCUGGGUUCUGUGCGGUGUGCUAGGAAUAUUGGGAAUAUGGCCAUUCUGCUUGAUCCCGCUCUGUUGUGAUAGCUGUAAGGAUGUGGAACAUCGCUGUCCCAACUGCCAAAAUGUCGUGCAUGUACAUAAACGCCUCUCAUAGACGUCAGCAGCAAGACACUUACUGGAAUGUAUGCGAUACCUUCUAAAUCAUUAUAGCAAUGAUGUUUAUCUAUGUAGCCCUUCAUAUUAAAGGAGAAAUCCGGUUUAAAAUGGAUCUGGGAUAUGUUUAAGAUGAUUACGAGAUGGGAUGUUCGUUUGGGAGCACAAAAGCACAUGUAAACGCAUUCUUAAAUAGGCUGUUUUUAGCCGAUUCUACCAAAACGCUAUAAACUAGGAACCAUGGGGGCAUCUUGUCAUGGUAAAAACGAAAACGUUAUUUCAAACAACUUAAAAGGCUAGAUGUAGCCUGACACUUCUUUGAUAGUAUAAUAUGGGUCUUAAAAUAUAAAACGAGUCAUUGAGAACUUUGUAAGUGUACAGAUUGUUUAUUAAAAAGUACAUUUUAUACACACAAUACCAUCAGUAGAUCACCCGUCGACGCCAUUUUGUUUUCAAGACUCGAUAAGUAGAUUGACGAACACAGAGAUUGUGACAUCCGUCAGCAACACACAAGCUCUGUGUUCGUCAAUCUACUUAUCGAGUCUUGAAAACAAAAUGGGGUCGACGGGUGAUCUACUGAUGGUAUUGUGUGUAUAAAAUGUACUUUUUAAUAAACAAUCUGUACACUUACAAA